GUGCCUAAUACAUGCAAGUCGAGCGGAUUGAUGGGAGCUUGCUCCCUGAUAUCAGCGGCGGACGGGUGAGUAACACGUGGGUAACCUGCCUGUAAGAUCGGGAUAACUCCGGGAAACCGGGGCUAAUACCGGAUAAUUCAUUCCCUCGCAUGAGGGAGUGUUGAAAGAUGGCUUCUUGCUAUCACUUACAGAUGGACCCGCGGCGCAUUAGCUAGUUGGUGAGGUAACGGCUCACCAAGGCGACGAUGCGUAGCCGACCUGAGAGGGUGAUCGGCCACACUGGGACUGAGACACGGCCCAGACUCCUACGGGAGGCAGCAGUAGGGAAUCUUCCGCAAUGGACGAAAGUCUGACGGAGCAACGCCGCGUGAGUGAUGAAGGUUUUCGGAUCGUAAAACUCUGUUGUUAGGGAAGAACAAGUACCGUUCGAAUAGGGCGGUACCUUGACGGUACCUAACCAGAAAGCCACGGCUAACUACGUGCCAGCAGCC
Molecule: ribosomal RNA, 491 nt
Filed under: marine sediment bacterium ISA-7088
Lineage: Bacteria
Description: bacterial SSU rRNA
Rfam family: Bacterial small subunit ribosomal RNA
Source: RNAcentral